RNAcentral lists this long non-coding RNA (1202 nucleotides) under Homo sapiens (human). Its description in RNAcentral is "novel transcript". The record is from RNAcentral. Lineage: Eukaryota; Metazoa; Chordata; Mammalia; Primates; Hominidae.
GGGAGCUGGGAAAAGGCCCCAGGAGCUAGGGCAUCCUGAUUGUUCUUUCAAAGAAAUCCCUCUUGUUCUUAGUCAACAUGCUGGAUACCAGCUAAAAAAUGCAAAAUGAUCUUCAGGCAGGGAUGGCACAGGACCCUUGCUGAGCUGUGAAGCCUGGCUGUGAGGAUUCCUGCAUGGAAACAUCAACAUGUUGCCAGAUUGGUAUACGACUCAACACCACACUGGUCUGCUGGAGUGUGCUGGAAGUCCACUCCAGACUCUGUUUGCCUGGGUAUCACCAGCAGAGGCUGCAGAACAGCAAAGAUUGCUGCCUGUUCCUUCCUCUGGAAGCUUCGUCCCAGAGGGGCACCUGCCAGAUGCCAGCUGGAGCUCUCCUGUGUGAGAUUCUCCGGAGAAAAAGGCUGGCUCGCAAGAGGAUGCCAGAAGAGUGACAUCUCCCUCAUCAGCGCUUUGCCUCUUAAGACAUGCUGCUCCCAAACAGUGCCUUUGAAUCAAGACCCAGUCAUCGUAUUCGAAGAAAAAGGAAAUAUCCCUGACCAUGUUGGGACUUAACACUGCUUCACAGAGCUACCCAAACCAAGGAGAAUACCAACGUGAAUUGUCUUUCCACCUGUUGUGUGGGGCCAGCAAUUAUUCUUUUAGCUUGACGCGUUAACCCACCUGCUCCCUGUGGCCCUGGGAUGCUCUGCCAUCCCCCGUGGCUGCCAGUUCACUUAGGGUAGACUUAUGGCAGAGGGAUGUCAAUUUUGCUUGAACUGCUCAAUCACUGCUGACAUUUCGUUAACCACCCUAUGAACUUCUCAAGCCUGAAGUAGCAGCAACUUGUGCCCUUGAAAACUGAACAGAAAACAACUGUAUUGAUUUUCUACUAUCAACAAGAAAAAGACAAUUUCUCUUUGCUGAGAAUGUUCAUAAUGCAUUUUACACCACUUAUUCUCGGCAGUCCACCUCUUCCUGAUAUAUUGUUGGGCCUCUUUAAACCCCUGCUGCUUUAGACUCUGCUAGAAUUAACCCUGAAAUGCCAGCACCAUCUCAAGCCCUUCCAGUUCCCGGAUAGAAAUGUUCAUCAGUGCUGAAUUGACAGCCUACUUAGGCAAGGGAGCUGUGAUCAUUUAGAAAUUACAAAGGAACUCAGGCCUGGGUGAAGGGUUUGGGGUUGGGACACUAGGAAUCUCUUUUAGUAAAAUUCUCUUUUAAAAGAA